RNAcentral lists this ribosomal RNA (205 nucleotides) under Roseburia difficilis. Its description in RNAcentral is "partial 16S ribosomal RNA". It matches the Rfam family "Bacterial small subunit ribosomal RNA", at positions 1 to 185 of the family's 1533-position model. The record is from RNAcentral. Lineage: Bacteria; Bacillati; Bacillota; Clostridia; Lachnospirales; Lachnospiraceae.
UUAAACAUGAGAGUUUGAUCCUGGCUCAGGAUGAACGCUGGCGGCGUGCUUAACACAUGCAAGUCGAACGAAGCACUUAAAUUUGAUUCUUCGGAAGAAGAUUUUUGUGACUGAGUGGCGGACGGGUGAGUAACGCGUGGGUAACCUGCCUCAUACAGGGGGAUAACAGUUAGAAAUGACUGCUAAUACCGCAUAAGCGCACAGG